AGAGUUUGAUCCUGGCUCAGAAUCAACGCUGGCGGCGUGCCUAACACAUGCAAGUCGAACGAGAAAAUCCGGGUGUAGCAAUACAUUCGGGUGAGUAAAGUGGCGCACGGGUGAGUAACACGUAGCUAACCUACCCUCGAGCGGGGGAUAACCUGGGGAAACUCGGGCUAAUACCGCAUAAGAUCCGCAAGGACCAAAGG
RNAcentral lists this ribosomal RNA (200 nucleotides) under uncultured bacterium. RNAcentral describes it as "partial 16S ribosomal RNA". It matches the Rfam family "Bacterial small subunit ribosomal RNA", at positions 8 to 207 of the family's 1533-position model. The record is from RNAcentral.